ACUCAAAGGAAUAGACGGGGGCCCGCACAAGCGGUGGAGCAUGUGGUUUAAUUCGAUGCAACGCGAAGAACCUUACCUACUCUUGACAUCCUGCGAAUCCGGCUGAAAGGCUGGAGUGCCGAAAGGAGCGCAGAGACAGGUGCUGCAUGGCUGUCGUCAGCUCGUGUCGUGAGAUGUUGGGUUAAGUCCCGUAACGAGCGCAACCCUUAUCCUUAGUUGCCAGCACGUAAAGGUGGGAACUUUAGGGAGACUGCCGGUGAUAAACCGGAGGAAGGUGGGGAUGAGGUCAAGUCAUCAUGGCCUUUAUGAGUAGGGCCACACACGUGCUACAAUGGCCAGUACAGAGGGAAGCGAACCUGCGAGGGGGAGCAAAACUCGCAAAGCUGGUCGUAGUCCGGAUCGGAGUCUGAAACUCGACUCCGUGAAGUCGGAAUCGCUAGUAAUCGCGGAUCAGAACGCCGCGGUGAAUACGUUCCCGGGCCUUGCACACACCGCCCGU
RNAcentral lists this ribosomal RNA (499 nucleotides) under uncultured bacterium. RNAcentral's name for it is "partial 16S ribosomal RNA". It matches the Rfam family "Bacterial small subunit ribosomal RNA", at positions 899 to 1397 of the family's 1533-position model. The record is from RNAcentral.